This 478-nucleotide ribosomal RNA is filed under the name uncultured bacterium. Its description in RNAcentral is "partial 16S ribosomal RNA". It matches the Rfam family "Bacterial small subunit ribosomal RNA", at positions 30 to 507 of the family's 1533-position model. The record is from RNAcentral.
UGAACGCUGGCGGCGUGCUUAACACAUGCAAGUCGAACGGGAAACCUUUUAAUGAAGCUUCGGCAGAUUUAGCUGGUUUCUAGUGGCGGACGGGUGAGUAACGCGUGGGUAACCUGCCCUGGAGUGGGGGACAACAGUUGGAAACGACUGCUAAUACCGCAUAAGCCCACGAUCCGGCAUCGGAUUGAGGGAAAAGGAUUUAUUCGCUUCAGGAUGGACUCGCGUCCAAUUAGCUAGUUGGUGAGGUAACGGCCCACCAAGGCGACGAUUGGUGGCCGGACUGAGAGGUUGAACGGCCACAUUGGGACUGAGACACGGCCCAGACUCCUACGGGAGGCAGCAGUGGGGGAUAUUGCACAAUGGGGGAAACCCUGAUGCAGCGACGCCGCGUGGAGGAAGAAGGUUUUCGGAUUGUAAACUCCUGUCGUUAGGGACGAUAAUGACGGUACCUAACAAGAAAGCACCGGCUAACUACGUG